GCCACCUCUCCCGAGGCGCCUUGUGUGCCCCUGAGGCUCCGCUAUGUCUCAUGAGCGCUCCUGUCUCCUCGAGCACAAAUUGCCUGCUGUGUGAGGUGCUGUAUGGUCAUCCUUCUCUCAUAUUGAGGGAGAUUGCCACCACCAAUUCUCUCAAAAUAUUGGUGUUAUUCCUGAUACAGUAGACUCGGUCAUCAGGAACAGUCCAGCACUGUGCUCUCGCUCAAUUCCUCCUCCUCAUCUUGUUACAUAUAGAGGUGGCGCCUGUACAAAAAUCGGGAAAUCCUUCAGUUUCUAUCUUGCAAAUUUCCAAAUAAUUACUGCUGUCUACAUAUAACGCACAUGCAGAUGCAAGGCCAAGCAGCAUCGCAGGUGAGCAAUAUUUGCACGACCUGAUGUUGCUGCUGAGCACAGUCAUGGAAAAGAUAGCCAAGGAAGCCCUUGGCUGAUCUAACGAAGAGAUGAAUAUAUGAUAGAUGUACAUUGGCAUGAUCGCUUCAAGGUUGCUUAACAAGCUUUUCUGCUGUCUCGAUUUAGAUAUAUUGUGCCGCCAGCUUGCGGGUUUGCUUCCCACCUGCCAGAUGCAGAAAUGGCUGGGUGUCUUCACAGAUGCCUUGCAAAUAAGCCUGGAAAUUUGAGGCUCCGAGAUGAUGUACGUAAGGACAAGGACCUUCCAGAACGCCACAGCUCGAAGGUACUCAAGUUGAGAAUUCUAAUCGCGUGAUAAAAGUAGAUAGAGGAACCUUUCAUUAGAGAUGAAAGUGCUUGUCACAAGUGUACGAGUUA
RNAcentral lists this long non-coding RNA (783 nucleotides) under Coccomyxa subellipsoidea. RNAcentral's name for it is "long non-coding RNA (CSUB_LNC000141)". The record is from RNAcentral. Lineage: Eukaryota; Viridiplantae; Chlorophyta; Trebouxiophyceae; Coccomyxaceae.